Molecule: ribosomal RNA, 454 nt
Filed under: uncultured Methanolinea sp.
Lineage: Archaea; Methanobacteriati; Methanobacteriota; Methanomicrobia; Methanomicrobiales; Methanoregulaceae
Description: bacterial SSU rRNA
Rfam family: Archaeal small subunit ribosomal RNA
Source: RNAcentral
AGGUGGAGCCUGCGGUUUAAUCGGACUCAACGCCGGGAAACUCACCAGAUAAGACAGCUGAAUGAUAGUCGGGCUGAAGACUCUACUUUGACUAGCUGAGAGGAGGUGCAUGGCCGUCGUCAGUUCGUACUGUGAAGCAUCCUGUUAAGUCAGGCAACGAGCGAGACCCACGCCAACAGUUGCCAGCAUGUCCUCCGGGAUGGUGGGGACACUGUUGGGACCGCCUCUGCUAAAGAGGAGGAAGGAAUGGGCAACGGUAGGUCAGCAUGCCCCGAAUUAUCCGGGCUACACGCGGGCUACAAUGGUCAGGACAAUGGGCAUCAACACCGAAAGGUGAAGGCAAUCUCUUAAACCUGUCCUUAGUUCGGAUUGUGGGCUGCAACUCGCCCACAUGAAGCUGGAAUCUGUAGUAAUCGCGUCUCAAAAUGGCGCGGUGAAUAUGUCCCUGCUCCUU